This 412-nucleotide ribosomal RNA is filed under the name bacterium enrichment culture clone ALO1_GLFRUDD03GYBWV. Its description in RNAcentral is "bacterial SSU rRNA". It matches the Rfam family "Bacterial small subunit ribosomal RNA", at positions 9 to 424 of the family's 1533-position model. The record is from RNAcentral.
GAGUUUGAUCGUGGCUCAGAUUGAACGCUGGCGGCAUGCCUUACACAUGCAAGUCGAACGGCAGCACGGGAGCUUGCUCCUGGUGGCGAGUGGCGAACGGGUGAGUAAUGCAUCGGAACGUAUCCUGGAGUGGGGGAUAACGUAGCGAAAGUUACGCUAAUACCGCAUAUUCUGUGAGCAGGAAAGCGGGGGACCUUCGGGCCUCGCGCUCUUGGAGCGGCCGAUGUCGGAUUAGCUAGUUGGUGAGGUAAAGGCUCACCAAGGCGACGAUCCGUAGCAGGUCUGAGAGGAUGAUCUGCCCCACUGGAACUGAGACACGGUCCAGACUCCUACGGGAGGCAGCAGUGGGGAUUUUGGACAAUGGGGGCAACCCUGAUCCAGCCAUGCCGCGUGAGUGAAGAAGGCCUCGGUU